Molecule: unclassified non-coding RNA, 3733 nt
Filed under: Hevea brasiliensis (rubber tree)
Lineage: Eukaryota; Viridiplantae; Streptophyta; Magnoliopsida; Malpighiales; Euphorbiaceae
Source: RNAcentral
AGCACAGACCUAUCCAAAUGGAGAUGUAAUUUGAGAACUAGAAUUAAGGGUAUCACCUUAUUUCAACUGAUCUACUGAGAACAUCAUAAAGUUUUAACAUAAUAUCUAUCCAUCUCAUCCAUAAAAAAUGAACGCCAUACAUAUUUUCAAACAAGAAACUAAUUAAAAUAAAAGAAGAGAACCUAUUUACAAAGGCCUUGAUCUUCACUAGCUAACAUUUGCUGCUCUGCAAACCUUAACAAAGGAAAUAUAUUGAAAGAAAUAACACCCCAGUGAGAGACGUUUAGAGAAUUACAACUCACUUGUGAUCAGUUCAUAUACUUACAUUCAGGACAUACAAGGUCAUUUAGAACUUUACUUUUCUCUACAAGCAGAGGAAGUUCAUGUACAGACUUCUAGCACAUAUAUCCUAUGAGGAUUGAAUUGCUCAUUUGAUCCCUAUAACCUGCAUUUCUUCAACAUCAUUAGUGUGACAAGGGUCAUUUGUAGGAAUAAUGAAAAGACUUCACCUCUUUGCCCUAAAAGGCUAAUACUAAUAUCUCAUUCUCUCCCUUUCUCUCUCCUGUCAUGUGCAUGUGCAUCUAUGUGCUUGUGUGCAUCUGUAUUACAAAGACACCUCACUAAACAUUGGGGAUUUGAAGAUGUGCCUUCGAUUAUUAGAUAUUAGUGUAGACUGAUGGAGUGAUUCAAAUUUCCUAGCACAUCAAUGCACGGUAAAAGACAACAGCUAAAAAAAUUACCCAGAAAAAGGAGGGAAACAGGAGAAAAUGGCAGCACUCUGUACACUGACCUGGAGGUUUAGCAAUUGUCAAUUUUGCUGGCUAAUUGUUGAAGGAGUUCUUUCUUUGGGAGCUUAUAAUACUUUCUUAGUUUGUAUCUCUUUGCAAUGUCCCGCAGUUCAGCUAAUUUCAUUUUCUCCAAGAUUGAAGCUGAAGGCAUUGAAGCCACAGUCACUGAGCUGGAAUCAUGAAUUAAGCAGGACUCAGCGACUGACUGGUCAUCCUUAUUUAAACCGUCAGUAGUGUCUCUUUGUGAAUCAGAGAAGUCCAUUUGAACAGUAAAAUCUUUAGCCUCUGCAAUGAUUGGAAAAUUUGUAGUCCUCUUCCUUUUAUUCUGUGGCUGUGAAACUGAAUUUGGACUGUCAUCAGGAUAAGCACUAUUCUCUUUCGAUUCACACUCACCAAGCUGAAGUACUAUCUUUGUGGUCUUUUGAUGCUCAUUUAAACUGGCAUUUAGUGGACCCAACCCAGAUUUUUGUUGCUUCUUGCCUUCAGAAACAAAAGAUGAACUUGAAUCAACUGACAUAGUAGUAAAACCAAUUUCUUGUAUAAUUGGUGUAUUCUGCUUGAUAAUCUUCUUUGCCUUUUCUUCCUGAAAAUCGUGGGAUAAGUCCAAGUUGAAUUUUUUCUCAUCUGCACCAAUUUCACUCAUUUUAAAUUCAAGCAUAUCUUCUCCUUCCUCUUUAGGCAGUAACUUGAUUGCAUUUGUCCCUUUCUUAUCCUGCAGCUCUAAAAGUGAGGUCAAGGCACAAUUUUCUGUCUCAGUCAGAGCAGCUUCAACAACCUUCACAAUUUGUGGAGGAUUUUUCUCCUUUCCCUGUGUCUUUAGUGGAGAAUCCACAAUCUCAGCCGCAGCAACCUUUAAUUCUUUCACGGUCUGCUUGCAUGCAGCUUUCAGAGACAAAUCAGAGAGUUUUUGCUCUAUGUCAGGGUUACUACAAGUGCCUAAUCCAGAAUCAGCAUUUCCUAUUCUCCCAUGAAGGCCAGUUGCACAUCUCAAUUCUUUUGCACUUACAUUUUUUACAACAGUACCUGCAAACUGCUCAAAGAGAAAUGUGUUAUGAGCAAAUUCAGAGGCAGGGAAAAAUGAAAUUGAAACAUGUGGUACAGACAUUUACUCGUCAGCACUUCCACUAUAGCAAAGUGCAUUGAAACCAUAGAUUUUUUAUGUACUUAUGUACUAUAUCAUAUAUAUCAACAUAUUAAUAGCAAACAAUAUAAAAAAUAAAUACUUCAAACCUUAUAUUUUCUUGGAUGAUUUCCUUUGCCUUCAGGAUUCAAAGAUGAAAUCAAAAUUUUGCUUUUGCCUGUAGCCCUAGAACAGUAUUCCUCAUUUCCAGAUACUUUUAUAUUAGAGUAGCACAAAAUUUUCAUCUCAUUGGAGUCUGCAGUUGUGUGCCUACUAUCAUUUAAGCCUAAAUCCUUAACAGCAGCAUUUGCAUGCUGUUCAUUGCCAGAGGAAAGAACCAAAAACAAAAAGUUAGGAUCAGCUGCAACAACUCUAGGUCGAGAUAAGUCAGACUAGGACCACCUGAUUCAAUUGCAUGCGGUAUGAAAAUCACUUGACCUACAGGUUCAACCCAUGUUGUCUUCCCUAGAUUUCUGAGCUCUUCAAUGUAUGAUCAUAUUGACUAUGUACUGAUGCACAUUAAAUACUUGCUUAAUUUAAAGCAGAUGUGAAAGCUACUGGUACCUUGACCAUUUUACUAGGAUCUGUUUUCUUCACCACAGACUUCAGGGAUGAGCCUAAGAUUACAUCAUCUGUAGAGAUAGAAUUAAGUUCUUCAACCUCCUCACUUACAAUUAUUGAAUCUGAAUUGCUCAAUUUUUUCUUCUUAGAAGAAUUGCCAACUGGAUGUCCUGAAGCACCGGAAAUGGAAUUGCUAACACCAACAUUUGUAGACUGAAGUUUAGUCAUUUCGACAUAGCAUCUCCCCUCAUCUGCGGACUUUGAGGAUGAAAUUUUUAUCAUUCUACUGCCUUUUGGAUUAAAACCAUGUUCUCUACUUUCACCCUUCCUUGUAUUUUUUGGACCAUAGUAGCUUGAUAAUAUCUCAUCAGAUUGAACAGCUGCCAAUUUCAUUGAAUGAGAGUUGGAAUCUUUGACACCAGCAUUUGCAGGCUUAACAGUUUUAGGAUUGUUAGUUUUCUUCUCUUCAAGCUUCAAACAUGGAUUUAAAAUUGCAGCAUGUUCUGUUGUAGAGCUUGAUUUCCUCAUUUCUUCCCUCAUAAUAAAUUCUGAGCUAUAAUCACCCAAUGUUUUGUUCUCAUCCACAAUGUUGAUUGUUUCUCUUGGAACAACAGAACUUGAGUUUAAGAUAGUAGCAUCCUUAACUUCCUUAGGCUGCUCAUCUUUCUUGUAGAAGUAAUUGACAAGUAAAGCCUUCAAUAUUUCAUGUAGUGUUUCAACCGGUUGUGUAUGCAUCAAUAAGUGAACCUCAACAUCAUUCUUGUCCUUAUUCCUCAAACUCUUAACCGAAAUGUCAAGGCAACUUAUCUUUUCUUUCAAAGCAUUAGAGCAUAUUUGGGACCACUCCUCAUUUUCUACCCAGGCCAAUUCACUUUGCAAGGAUAUCAAAUCUUGUUCAAGUUUAUCGAUUUCAGUAUCUGCUUUUCUUAUCAAGAUCCUCAACACUCGUAUGCAGUAUCUCUCAUUCAAAGCAUCCUCUUCAAUCUCAUCAAACCCACAACCAAAGCAAAAGUCACACUCCCAUUCAGGUUGCAUAGAAGAAUUGCUUUCUGGAUUGUCAGGAGGACCCCAUAGAUCCUUGUCCAUGAAGCUCUAAUAUAUAUGUAUCCAGAACCAAAUUACAGAACUACUCAACCAUUCAUCAAAAUUGGCUUCCAAACAGAGUCCAGAGUAUAAACAAGAAAAGAAUAUAUGAAAAUGCUUUUGCUCAAUCGAAGCGCGCCAAAAAAAGAAAAUGCAACUUUCUCGCCAACCAAACAGGAAC